This 465-nucleotide ribosomal RNA is filed under the name Vreelandella stevensii. RNAcentral's name for it is "partial 16S ribosomal RNA". It matches the Rfam family "Bacterial small subunit ribosomal RNA", at positions 338 to 795 of the family's 1533-position model. Lineage: Bacteria; Pseudomonadati; Pseudomonadota; Gammaproteobacteria; Oceanospirillales; Halomonadaceae. The record is from RNAcentral.
CCUACGGGGCGCAGCAGUGGGGAAUAUUGGACAAUGGGCGAAAGCCUGAUCCAGCCAUGCCGCGUGUGUGAAGAAGGCCUUCGGGUUGUAAAGCACUUUCAGUGGGGAAGAAAGCCUUGGGGCUAAUACCCUCGAGGAAGGACAUCACCCACAGAAGAAGCACCGGCUAACUCCGUGCCAGCAGCCGCGGUAAUACGGAGGGUGCGAGCGUUAAUCGGAAUUACUGGGCGUAAAGCGCGCGUAGGCGGUCUGAUAAGCCGGUUGUGAAAGCCCCGGGCUCAACCUGGGAACGGCAUCCGGAACUGUCAGGCUAGAGUGCAGGAGAGGAAGGUAGAAUUCCCGGUGUAGCGGUGAAAUGCGUAGAGAUCGGGAGGAAUACCAGUAGCGAAGGCGGCCUUCUGGACUGACACUGACGCUGAGGUGCGAAAGCGUGGGUAGCAAACAGGAUUAGAUACCCCAGUAGUC